This 248-nucleotide ribosomal RNA is filed under the name uncultured bacterium. RNAcentral's name for it is "partial 16S ribosomal RNA". It matches the Rfam family "Bacterial small subunit ribosomal RNA", at positions 108 to 349 of the family's 1533-position model. The record is from RNAcentral.
GAGUAACGCGUGGGUAACCUGCCUUGUACUGGGGGACAACAGUUGGAAACGACUGCUAAUACCGCAUAAGCGCACAGCUUCGCAUGAAGCAGUGUGAAAAACUCCGGUGGUACAAGAUGGACACGCGUCUGAUUAGCUGGUUGGUGAGGUAACGGCCCACCAAGGCGACGAUCAGUAGCCGGCCUGAGAGGGUGAACGGCCACAUUGGGACUGAGACACGGCCCAAACUCCUACGGGAGGCCAGCAUG